This 274-nucleotide ribosomal RNA is filed under the name uncultured bacterium. RNAcentral's name for it is "partial 16S ribosomal RNA". It matches the Rfam family "Bacterial small subunit ribosomal RNA", at positions 523 to 796 of the family's 1533-position model. The record is from RNAcentral.
AUACGAAGGGGGCAAGCGUUGUUCGGAAUAACUGGGCGUAAAGCGCACGUAGGCGGAAUGUUAAGUUAGAGGUGAAAUCCCAGGGCUCAACCCUGGAACUGCCUUUAAUACUGGCAAUCUAGAGACCGAGAGAGGUGAGUGGAAUUCCGAGUGUAGAGGUGAAAUUCGUAGAUAUUCGGAGGAACACCAGUGGCGAAGGCGGCUCACUGGCUCGGUACUGACGCUGAGGUGCGAAAGCGUGGGGAGCAAACAGGAUUAGAAACCCCGGUAGUCC